Pantherophis guttatus is the source of this 960-nucleotide non-coding RNA. Lineage: Eukaryota; Metazoa; Chordata; Lepidosauria; Squamata; Colubridae. The record is from RefSeq and is a predicted model, not a curated record.
UUGUCUUACUCCAGAUUGUCCUGGGUUGUUAUGAAUCUCCUCGGAAAGCGAGAUAGUUUUCAUUCAAGAAGAUGCAUUGCCCUCCCCAGGGAGGUAUAUACAGUAACAUGGUUGACCAUAACAGCAAAAGUCCUAAAACAUGUGAAGAUGUUUGCUUCGGAGUCUGUGCUUCCGGUGGCUGGAACAAAGGUGUCUCUUUCUGCUCUCAUAUCAAGGAGUAUCCAUUAUGGGUCUGAUGAGUUGAAAGGAAUCAUUCUGGAUCUGAUGGAUGAAGUGACCAGUUAGCGAAAUCACUGUUGCCCACACCACCUACGCCAUGUUUCCAGCUGAAAGACAAGUUCAUACUGCUAUCCUGCCCUGAAAGCCGAAUCAGCCAAAUGAAAAUUAAUGAUGAAAGCUGCCAUCAGGAAGUAACUCCUUCUGUCUUUGUUGGCAAAGAUUGGAUCUUGGGGAGGACAAAACAGCUCCGGAGGGAGAGGCGCCAAUGGUAUACAUAGGACACUGCCCUAAAAUAAGUUGGUGUCAGGAAUAAACAUUCAAAUGAUGUACAUGUAGAUCUGGAUUUAAUUUCUCAGGAUGGCAGAGACAGAUAACCAUGCCAAGGUGGUGCUUGAUAAGUCACUUUUGCUAAGCUUGCCUAUCAAGGAGAAUCCGAUCCCUUGGGAUUCAAAUCCGCACUCAAACUGCUGUGAUCAAAAGUCCAGGUCCCUCCAAUAUUACAUCCCCCCCUAAUAAUGAGAAGAGUACAGAUGAUGGACGAUGUGAGAAGCCUUUUGGGGAACAAACCAGAAUGUCAUUCUACAGACUCUUGAAAGCUUUCUAAAUCAUCGUGCAACAUCUUAAUUUGCUGGUUGCAACAUCAUAUACUGAGAUGUUUGUUACAGGCUUUUUAUUGGAAAAACGCCUUGAAAAAUAACAUUAUUUGACAAUCCUCCCCCCCAAUAAAUAUAUUUUACUGUA